GGGGUCGAUCCGGAUUCGACGUGGGUCGCGAAGCAGAACAGGGCAUGUCGAGCACCAGUAAGCUCGUAAAUCCACUGGAACACUACAAACGCCAACGACGAGCGUUUCGCUCUGGCCGCUUAAGCGGUGAGCCGCUGCACUGAUUUGUCCUUGGGUCAGGUGGGGUAAAACCCACAGCAGCGUCAUCUACAAGGAAUCGGGUCUGGCCAGGUCACUGGGCUAUGCCUUAAAUCAGUGUGAAUCGCCAAGGAAGGGCCUGCUGGUUGGCACGCUCCAAGGUUAAAACUCAAAAUUAACCGGAUAAACAUGUAGAACUGUCUGUAGAGGGCUUGCGGACGGGGGUUCAAUUCCCCCCGACUCCACCA
This 365-nucleotide transfer-messenger RNA is filed under the name Paracandidimonas soli. RNAcentral describes it as "Standard tmRNA". It matches the Rfam family "transfer-messenger RNA". From Rfam's summary of the family: Bacterial tmRNA, also known as 10Sa RNA or SsrA, is named for its dual tRNA and mRNA-like properties. The record is from Rfam by way of RNAcentral. Lineage: Bacteria; Pseudomonadati; Pseudomonadota; Betaproteobacteria; Burkholderiales; Alcaligenaceae.